RNAcentral lists this transfer RNA (74 nucleotides) under Atrina pectinata. RNAcentral describes it as "tRNA-Lys". It matches the Rfam family "tRNA". From Rfam's summary of the family: Transfer RNA (tRNA) molecules are approximately 80 nucleotides in length. Lineage: Eukaryota; Metazoa; Mollusca; Bivalvia; Pterioida; Pinnidae. The record is from RNAcentral.
AUCGAAGAAGCUAAUUUUAAAGUGUCUGACUUUUAAUCAGAAGAUUGGGUGUUGUGAUUGUCAUCCCUUCGGUG